Molecule: ribosomal RNA, 468 nt
Filed under: uncultured bacterium
Lineage: Bacteria
Description: partial 16S ribosomal RNA
Rfam family: Bacterial small subunit ribosomal RNA
Source: RNAcentral
GAUGAACGCUGGCGGCGUGCUUAACACAUGCCAGUCGAACGGAAAGGCCCAAGCUUGCUUGGGUACUCGAGUGGCGAACGGGUGAGUAACACGUGGGUGAUCUGCCCUGCACUUCGGGAUAAGCCUGGGAAGCUGGGUCUAAUACCGGAUAGGACGAUGGUUUGGAUGCCAUUGUGGAAAGUUUUUUCGGUGUGGGAUGAGCUCGCGGCCUAUCAGCUUGUUGGUGGGGUAGUGGCCUACCAAGGCGUCGACGGGUAGCCGGCCUGAGAGGGUGUACGGCCACAUUGGGACGGAGAUACGGCCCAGACUCCUGCGGGAGGCAGCAGUGGGGAAUAUUGCACAAUGGGCGCAAGCCUGAUGCAGCGACGCCGCGUGGGGGAUGACGGCCUUCGGGUUGUAAACUCCUUUCGCUAGGGACGAAGCGUUUUUGUGACGGUACCUGGAGAAGAAGCACCGGCUAACUACGUG